Long non-coding RNA from Sinocyclocheilus grahami, 676 nucleotides. The record is from Ensembl. Lineage: Eukaryota; Metazoa; Chordata; Actinopteri; Cypriniformes; Cyprinidae.
AGAAAAGCCAGGUGUAGUUGAUCAUCCGAAGAGAAAUCCAGAAGAUAAAAACUAUAAUUAUUUGGAUCCUAAGGGUAGUUCGCGGGAGGUUGUGAUCAUUUAUAUUUUCAGAAGUCUGCCCUUCAUCUGUCUGUUGGCGGCGUUCUUUUACCUAAACAGGAACAACAAACUAGUCUCAUCAUCAAGACCAGCAGUUGAGCAUGCUGUAAAGUUGGGAGAAGGACCAGAUGAAGACCUGGAGGUUGGAGAGACACAGAGGAAUGAAACUGAAGAGGUGAAACAGGGUGAGAAUAUUUCAGAACAGGAGAAAGGGAGGGUCAACAAUGAGAAACCUGAAGUUACUGUUGCAACAGAAGAAGAAACAGAUGAAGAAAAACCGACUGCUGUAGUUGUGAGCAUUGAACAAGGUGCAUCUCCAGUGCAUGACAACGAAAACAAGACCAUUUCUGUUCUGAACACUGAUGAAAAGACACUUCAAAGUGUUGAAGAAGGGACUGUUUCUGUGCUGGGCGACUUAGUUUCAGCUCUGUGAGAUGCAGGAAAUGGAGUUAUGGGUGUGCUGUUCAGGUCGAUGAUGUCACUUCCUGAAUGAUAGCUUGUUUGCAGACUCGUAAUGGUUUGCAAUGACUUUUACUGAAUUCUGAAAGUAAAUGAAAUAAAAUAUGUUCAUGCAUGA